RNAcentral lists this long non-coding RNA (210 nucleotides) under Elaeis guineensis (African oil palm). RNAcentral's name for it is "long non-coding RNA (EGUI_LNC030199)". Lineage: Eukaryota; Viridiplantae; Streptophyta; Magnoliopsida; Arecales; Arecaceae. The record is from RNAcentral.
GUAUCUAUAGCUCCGUAUCAUCGAAUGGAAUGCGUAGGAAUAAUCUGUUUGAAAAUUGAAGUAAUAUAUCGAAAUAUACACCUCCGUAUCGAUAUAUACGCUUGCGUAUCGAAAGUUAUUAAUAAUAUUUUAUUUUUUUAUUAUAAAAUAUUGAGACAUUUGGUUCUCAUCCAUUAACUGCUGGAGAGAAUGUACAUGAGCAGGAGGACG